Molecule: ribosomal RNA, 776 nt
Filed under: uncultured Neocallimastigales
Lineage: Eukaryota; Fungi; Neocallimastigomycota; Neocallimastigomycetes; Neocallimastigales
Description: partial large subunit ribosomal RNA
Rfam family: Eukaryotic large subunit ribosomal RNA
Source: RNAcentral
UAUCUCUGUAGAGUCUGCAUAUCAAUAAGCGGAGGAAAAGAAACUAACUAGGAUUCCCUUAGUAACGGCGAGUGAAGCGGGAAGAGCUCAAAUUUGAAAUCUUCAAGGUUUUACCUUGACGAAUUGUAGUUUAAAGAAGUGUUUUCUGUUGAGUGUUUCGGUAAAAGUUCUUUGGAAUAGGACAUCAUAGAGGGUGAGAAUCCCGUAUUUGACCAUUACUUUCAGCUGUGUGAUACACUUUCAAAGAGUCGGAUUGUUUGGGAAUGCAGUCCAAAAUGGGUGGUAAAUUUCAUCUAAAGCUAAAUACUUGGCGAGAGACCGAUAGCGAACAAGUACCGUGAGGGAAAGAUGAAAAGAACUUUGAAAAGAGAGUUAAACAGUACGUGAAAUUGUCAAAAGGGAAGCGUUUGACACCAGUGUUGUUUUCUCGAAAAUCAAUUAAAAAUGGCAGGAUUUUGUGUUGUAUUGACUUUAUCAGCUUUCUGCACUUUUUUCUUAUCUUUUUUAAUGCACUUUUCGUUUAACAAGUCAACAUCAAUUUCUUUUGCUGUAAAAGAGUCAUUGGAAGGUGGCUUUCUUUUCGGAGAAAGUGUUUAUAGCCUUUGACUUCUGCAGUCGGAGAGAUUGAGGUCUGCAGCGUAGAUCCUUCGGGGUUAGAUGCAUUUGUGCUAAGUUAUAGCCUUUCAUAGACAACUUGUUGACUAUGAUCAGUCAUGUAGCUUACUCGCUUAUGUUAUUUUACCUACGCUUAGGAUGUUGAUCUCUCACAGUCGAGC